AACUGAUACUACCUGCGGGAACCUGCGGAAGGAUCAUUACCGAGUUAUCAACUCCCAAACCCCUGUGAACAUACCCGAACGUUGCCUCGGCGGGACCGCCCCGGCGCCCCUAGCGGCCCGGAACCAGGCGCCCGCCGGAGGACCCAAACUCUUGCUUUAAACAGUGGCAUACUCUCUGAGUCUCACAAACAAAAAAUAAAUCAAAACUUUCAGCAACGGAUCUCUAGAUCGGAAGAGCAC
Molecule: unclassified non-coding RNA, 240 nt
Filed under: soil metagenome
Description: partial contains 5.8S ribosomal RNA, internal transcribed spacer 2, and large subunit ribosomal RNA
Source: RNAcentral